AAUGGAAUUGCUGGGAUAUAUGAUAGCUCUAGCUUUUUAAGGUACUGCCAAGAUGUUUUCAAGAGUGGUUAUACCAUUUUACAUUCUUACCAGCAAU
RNAcentral lists this microRNA precursor (97 nucleotides) under Marmota monax (woodchuck). The record is from RNAcentral. Lineage: Eukaryota; Metazoa; Chordata; Mammalia; Rodentia; Sciuridae.